Molecule: long non-coding RNA, 332 nt
Organism: Vidua chalybeata
Lineage: Eukaryota; Metazoa; Chordata; Aves; Passeriformes; Viduidae
Exons: 3
Source: RefSeq, a predicted model, not a curated record
CAUACAGGAAGAAGGUUAAUUGCCUGGGAUGGUAAGCAGCAAGCAGGGAUGCCUUGAUGUGGAAGCAGCAUAAGGCAGCCAGCUGCCAUCAGGCGUGACCCCACACUCAGAUUUUAGGAAAUGUGGAAACAUUUACGUUUCUUGCAGAGCCAAUUUGCUGCUUGUCUGGAAUGUGUAGAAAAAGGAAGACAAAAUGAAAACAUCCCUCAUGGAAGUGACCAGAGGCUUUUUGCACCAUUCAACAAAUCUUUGAUGACCUGAUAUUAGGGAGAAACAAGCAAAUGUGUCUGAGGAAUCGGAUGACAUAAUUAAUAAAGUGCCAUAAAGAAUGU